This 982-nucleotide ribosomal RNA is filed under the name Colwellia sp. SJ1786. RNAcentral describes it as "bacterial SSU rRNA". It matches the Rfam family "Bacterial small subunit ribosomal RNA", at positions 55 to 1031 of the family's 1533-position model. Lineage: Bacteria; Pseudomonadati; Pseudomonadota; Gammaproteobacteria; Alteromonadales; Colwelliaceae. The record is from RNAcentral.
AUGCAGUCGAGCGGAACGAGAAUAGCUUGCUAUUCGGCGUCGAGCGGCGGACGGGUGAGUAAUGCUUGGGAAUAUGCCUUUGAGUGGGGGACAACAGUUGGAAACGACUGCUAAUACCGCAUAACGUCUACGGACCAAAGGGGGGGACGCUUCGGCACCUCUCGCUCAUUGAUUAGCCCAAGUGAGAUUAGCUAGUUGGUAAGGUAAUGGCUUACCAAGGCGACGAUCUCUAGCUGGUUUGAGAGGAUGAUCAGCCACACUGGGACUGAGACACGGCCCANACUCCUACGGGAGGCAGCAGUGGGGAAUAUUGCACAAUGGGCGAAAGCCUGAUGCANCCAUGCCGCGUGUGUGAAGAAGGCCUUCGGGUUGUAAAGCACUUUCAGCGAGGAGGAAAGGUUAGUAGUUAAUAACUGCUAGCUGUGACGUUACUCGCANAANAAGCACCGGCUAACUUCGUGCCAGCAGCCGCGGUAAUACGAGGGGUGCAAGCGUUAAUCGGAAUUACUGGGCGUAAAGCGUGCGUAGGUGGUUUGUUAAGCAAGAUGUGAAAGCCCUGGGCUCAACCUGGGAACUGCAUUUUGAACUGGCAAGCUAGAGUUUUGUAGAGGGUAGUGGAAUUUCCAGUGUAGCGGUGAAAUGCGUAGAGAUUGGAAGGAACAUCAGUGGCGAAGGCGGCUACCUGGACAAAGACUGACACUGAGGCACGAAAGCGUGGGGAGCAAACAGGAUUAGAUACCCUGGUAGUCCACGCCGUACACGAUGUCAACUAGCCGUCUGUAGACUUGAUCUGUGGGUGGCGUAGCUAACGCGCUAAGUUGACCGCCUGGGGAGUACGGCCGCAAGGUUAAAACUCAAAUGAAUUGACGGGGGCCCGCACAAGCGUGGAGCAUGUGGUUUAAUUCGAUGCAACGCGAAGAACCUUACCAUCCCUUGACAUCCAGAGAGAGACUAGAGAUAGACUUGUGCCUUCGGGACUCUG